Molecule: long non-coding RNA, 2681 nt
Filed under: Homo sapiens (human)
Lineage: Eukaryota; Metazoa; Chordata; Mammalia; Primates; Hominidae
Description: HSALNT0038788
Source: RNAcentral
CCCAAAAAUACUAGUUGCUAAAGCUCACACAUGCCUUAAUUGCACCCACUGUCCUCGCUGAAUGCAGUUGAGAUUCUGUUCCUUUAUGCUUUUAAAACAAAGUACUGCUCAUCAAAGAACAAGAAAAACUGAUUCCUGAAAUAAAAUUUGAAGAUAAAGAACAUUCUGGAUUGCCUUAGGAAAUUAAGGGGAAGGAAGUAAUUCAAAAAUCUAUAGAUCUUGAUAGGUCAUAAAUCCUAAAGGAUUUCAGACAUAGGUCAAGAGAAAACCGAAGUCUGGAAGGGGAUAAUGAAGGAGACAAAUAAAUAAUAUAAAUGUAUUUAUUACCACUGAACGAUACACUUAAAAAUGGUCAAGAUGGUAAAUUAUAUAUGUAUAUUUUACCUUGUUUUUUUUUUUUUUUUUUUUUAAAAAAGAAAGCACAGAGACUAAGUUGCAGAGAGGAGGGAUGAAGAAAGAGAAGAAUCUUGACAACUCCUAGAAUCACGGCAUCUCAAAGUUGGAAGUUACAAGAGUCCAUCCAACCACCAAAAUACUUCAAGAGGUGACAGAUCCUGCCAGGACUGGAUACUUUCCCUCAAGACAGCAGGUUCCCUUCCGGCCCAUGGUAUGUCUAGAAAUGUCAUUGGGAGGUGGGGCCUGAAAUGGAGGCUUUAGGACUCUGCUUGGUGCUUUGUUUUACUGUGGCUACACUGGUAUCCAAGCUACAAGACAAAGUCUUCUUUACUCUUCCCUCACCUUUCCUCAAGUGGAAGAAGUCUCUCCCAGAGCUGUAAGCUGCACUGCCUGGGACUGGGAGAGGGUGAUGCAAGCACUCCUUUGGCUCCUCCAGCUAGUAUCUCUCUAGGUCAUGUGUACCCCAGGUCCACUGGCUCUGAGCCCAGCACAGUACCAGGAUGUGCCCAGGAAUUGUAGUCCUUGUGGCCUAGACUAUCUUUCAAAUUUAUUUAGGAGCUUACAGCACUUUAGCCCACAGCGGUGGGCUAGCUGGAACUCAGGUUCCAAUUGCUAGGAUGGAAGAUUCUUCUCUGGCUAGGGCUGUUCUAAAUGCAGCCUCUGUGGGCACCAGCGAAAUUGUGCCCUGCAUUGCUUUCCAUUCCGACAGACAGACCAACAAACACUGAGUUCCAAUACAAAGUGCCAUAGUCACUGUGCUCUCCCUCUCCCAAGCACAGAUUCUCUCUCAGCACCACACUCCUCCAUAGGGGAGGGGUGGCAUCAGCCAUUCAAGACUGUCUUUCCUACCCUCUUCAGUGCCUCCUUCCUUGGUAUAAUGUUAAAACCAGGUACUAUGAUGGUUCACCUGAUUUCCGGUUCUUAUGAAGGUGCUUUCUUGUAUGGAGAGCUAUUUAAUUUGGUGUUCCUGCAAGGGGGAUGAUCACUGGAGGGUUAUAUUUGGCCAUCUUGCUCCAUCCCCUCCUUCCUUCUAUUCUUGUCUGGCAUAGAGUAAACCCUCACUAAAUAUUGUUAUUCUUCCUAGCUAUAUGAUCCCCUAAAAGUUCUUUGAUGGCACUCUGUCCUUCACCUAAAGUGCUCCUUUACUCUCCUAUCCUGAACCCACACUCCUCCUCAUCUUUUCAAGGCUUCAAAACUAAUGCAGCAGACUCUCUGCCUCAGAGGAUCAGUUAUAUCAUAGUGAGAUAAGCAGGACAUUUUACAAAGAAACAAGUAGCUGUUCAAUAGAUUUCCAUGAACUCUGAGCACAGCCAACAAUCCCCGCCCCCCACUCCUCCCUACCCCCAAGUGUUACCAGGCUUCAUUCUUUAGGGUCAUUCCAGUCCUCCACUAAAUUUCCAUUAGUUAUUAAUCAUCUAAAGCUUUUAUCUAAAGUUUUCCAUUUAUCCUUCUGUCUCUGGCCCUGCAUUCCCCUACUUUACAGAGAUAUAUUUAAAAAACUGACACUGUAAAAGCAAACAGACAAGUGGGAUAGAAUACUGAAAAGUCAAGAAAAUGGAAAGCCUUUCUGAAAUUGAAUCACCUUCUAACAGCUAUUUCUAAUAAAAAAUGUAUUAGAAAGAAAGGGGAAAAAAAGGCUUGGAUCCCGAAAGACAGUUUGAAUCAUAACAGUGCGAGUGCGAGACAGAAGACAAUCACUUUCUACUCUCUGCUGGUCUCUAAAGGAAUUCCAGUUAGUUAUCCAAGAAUGGAAGAACACCGUGAGUCAGCCGUUCUCCUUUCCUCUUUAAAACAAAAACAAAAUUCAUCUUGGUCAUGUUAUCAGUUGUCUGUAUGUAGAGGGAAAAAAAAGGCCAUUUCCAGGUCAUUACCUAAAAUCAACUCUUCCAUUUAGUGGGGCCAUCUGGUAGCUGAUAUGAUUAAUUAUAAAAUUUCCAUCUCAUUCAAUUUAUUUUAGCUCUUUCUAUAAGUUACUUAACAUAGAAAUAAGAAAAUCAUAGCCAAACUAUAAAUUGAAGCUUGAUUGGUGUAAUUGGUAUGUAUCCCCCACCCUACAACAAAAAAAAUUCAAAGGGGACAGGGGAGAGAAAGGAAUGAUAGAUGAAGUUAAAGCAUCUGAAAUUCUAUUCUCUUUCUUGUUUAUACCACAGAGCAGCUCUCUUUAAAACAAAUCCUUCUGUAAUUUCAAAAGGCUUCAGCAAGUCUUCCAACUAGACUGGGUCAAUCAAAAUAAAAGGUUUAACACUCAUCUUGACUGUGUUUUUUUUUUUAAAUCAUGAAAUCAC